GAGUUUUAUUUGCGCUCAACAUUUGUUCUCGAGGUUGGCUCUCGGUUUGCAUGUGAGAGCCAACUUCAGUGAGUUUACUAGAACAGAUCUGGUGUCUGAAGCAGACAGACCCCAUCGCCGGUGGCCUGUUGGCGGAGCCUGCUGCGAGCCGAUAGACAGACGGCAUGAGUGUCCGUCUCAGUCACGACUCUCAGAGAACACACGACUUCCUAACUGCAGUGAAAGUAGAAGUUUGAGAUGAUUUCUUGAGUGGGUUUUGAAACAUCUUUGAAAAGCCGGCUCACUCGCAGAUGUACGGCUCGAACUAUUCGGAAGUUUGGACGGUGAAUACAAAGAUAUACAUGGAGAACAAGACCUCGAGCCUGCAGUCAUACGGGCCGCUCUGGGAGGCUGUAUUUAGGCACGAGCUCAGCACAGCCCGUGCCGUUUAGACUGCUAACACGCUGAUAUUCUCACCAAACUUGGUAGUUUAGCCUCACGGGUUAAAUCAGAAGUCACGACGCCUUGGCAUCGGACUUGAAUUUUAAAUGCAAAAUAAAAAAGGUGACCAACGCAAAGGCUGUUCCUUUCCUAACAAGAUGCCAAAAAACUAGAUUACUGUAAUGCUCUAUUCAAAGGUCUACCAAAACAAUCCAUUGACAAAUUACACUUAACUCAGAACUCAGCUGCCAGGCUUUUAACUAGAACAAGAGAAAGAGAGCACGUCACCCCAUAACUUGCACUGGCUCCCAGUGUCUCUAAGGAUUUAUCUUCAAGUUCUUUUUACUUGUUUACAAGGCCCUUAAUGGGUUGGGAUCAGCCUACAUUACGAAUUCUUAGUGGUUUUAUAAUCCUUCAAGGCCUCUAAGAUCCUAGAGUUAUUUAACUAAGACAAUUCAGCAGCUCAGCCUUUUUUUACUUUACACCACAACUAUGGAAUUCCCUCCCAGGACUAUAAGAGAUGCACACUGCAUUAACAUUGUAAUUGAAAAUCUAAUCAAUACUCAAUCAGCAUUGCCUGUCACUCUUGUUUACAUGUGUUAGUGGACAUAUGCCUUCCUUUACCUUAUUGCUUGGUUUUGUUUUAAUUUGUUUGUUUUGAUUAAUUAUCUUCUUUUUGAACUUUAAUGAAAACAUUUUAAACUACCACCUGAAUGAAAGGUGCUGUAUACAACAAGUUAUUAAAUUAUCAUCAGUAAAUUAUUACUGUUCUUAUCAUAUUCGGCAGUUAUAAUGUUCACUAUAGAUCCAUUUACAGCAAGUUUAGGGAGGCACACGAGCAAUAAGUAUGUACACGUUUUUGCUCAUUAACAAGGUUGGUAGGGUUAAUGAUUUUCAACUCAGAUGUGGAUGUUUUCAUAAGGAUGGCAGCCUUCUUGUACAGUGUCCUUCUAUAUAAUUACAAUGUCCUGAAUAUAUGAAAAGGUGUUUAAAAAGUGUUAUGCCGAUAUCUAAUCUUUAGCAUGUUAGCAUGCUAACAUUUGCAAGUUAGACCUAAACACAAAAUACAGAUGAGUCUGGUUGGAAAAGCAUUAUUUGAUCACAUUUUUUAAAUCUUAUAAAGGCAGCAUUACUAUCGGAAAGAAAUUUCAUGAAAAUCCUUCGAACAACUGAGACAUUUAAAACCACAGAUGGUACGAUCAUAUCAUGGCACUAGAAGAAAAGUCAGGAGAGCACCAGAUACAAGAUUGAACAACCUUGGACUCAUAUGUACAAAAUUAAACAGCAAUCUAUCUCAAACUGAUGUCAAUAUAUUUCAGACCAACUUUCCAACACUGCCAAAGAGCCAUGUCCAUGUAGCUUUUUAAAAAGUGUUACGCUAUAUACUGUACUUUAGGCCUCCCUGUUUAGUACAGUGAACUGGUUAAUGUUAGUUAUGAAAUGCUUCAUUCAUGGUAUAUCGCAUAUAUGUGCUGAUAACUAACCUAAAUAUGGCAGUAUGCAUCCACUACUGUUUGCACUCAUCCCUAGAAAUAAACAUUGGCUCACUGCUAAUCGUCCCUGUGUCAGCCAUGCGUAACACCGCAUGUCACAGCGGCCGUGCAUGUUGAAAGCCUCGCAGACCUUUGUUUUGGAAAAUGUAGCAGAGGUUGCCAUGGAGCUUGUAUUUGAUCUAUUGUAAUUAACCGAGCCCAUUGAUUGCACAAUGCUUCUCCCUGGCUCGUCUCCGUCAACAGGCAGCCCUGACGUUUAAUCAAACACCACGUAAACCACCGUUUACGAAGUCGCCUCCCCACAAUGAUUUGUCCUCACAUGGCCCGUCAGGGAUGAAAGGGGCACAGGAAGUGGAAGGAAGGCCGGCCAAUAAGGAUCAUUAGAGGAUUUAACAAAGCUCAGGUUUACUGUUUUGAAACCUGAGCUCAAGAGAACUGAUAAGUGUUCACUGAUUACUCUGUAUGUGUGUGUGUGUGUGUGUGUGUGUGUGUGUGUGUGUGUGCGCGCGCUACAGCCAGCAGUCAAUUAGCUUAGCUUAGCAUAACCACUUGAAGCACUUGGGUAACAGCACGUUAUGAAUUACGCUUCCUUUCCUGGUAAGACCUGUCUGACAUUGAAUAGCCAGGCAUCCAUGCCUGCCAAAGUAAUGGUAGCCUGAUUUGUUUGGUCAUAUAUGCCUUGACCAAUAAGCUUUCCUGACCAUAACCACUUGAGGUCAAUGUCUAACCAAAUCGUCUCUGACUCAACCAGUUACGCAGGAAAUAGCCACACAACAGCUAGCAUAGCUCUGUUUUUUAAUAAUAAUUCAGCCAUAAAAAGCACCUUCAAAGCCAAUAGUCAUGCAGAUAUUCAUUUGUAAAACCAUGAACAAAUCUGUUUAGAAAUAAUUAGUUUUUACGAAUUAAGGUGUUGGUAAAUGAGCUUUAGCAAUGUUUAGCAGAUUAUUUUCCACAUAGCCAUGCUAGCUGUUUCUCCGCGCCGCCACUCUUUACUCUAAACUAACCAUCUCCUGGCUGGAGCUUCGUAUUUAACAGGCAGACUAAUGAUCUCUAACUCUCUGCGAAAAAGUAAUGAACUAAAAUGUCUGAAUUAUUUCUUGUUGCAUAUUGAGGGGAAUUCUUUGGGAUUAACCAUUAGGCCUAUAUGAGUAAUUAAACAGUUAGCCACAGUGUUUAGUCAUUCCUCUGAAAUCGAGUCACGUUAUGUGGUUCAUGCUGAGGAAGUCCUACUAGGUGGCCACAUCCCUCUGUAAAUGUGUCCUUUGUCCCUUAGUAGUCCAGUCACUGUGUCCUAAUGCGUGUCACGCAGCCUGCUAUAAAGUCAAUUAGUCCUGCUUUCCAACACCAGGGGUGAAAAUCUGGGGCUCACAUGUCCCGUCAGGGAUGACCUUCACAUGAGGGACUGAGCCAACACUCACAUAUGGCCAAGCCCUGGGGUGGGAAACUGCCUACUCUGGCCAAGGACAGGACUGUGAAGGGUGGAUGGAUACGAGCAUGUAAUCUCGAGAGAUAUGGCAACUUUAUACUUUUUUUAUUUUUCUAAGAUAUAAAAAUAGAAUUUUCCAAGGUUGUAGAAAUUAAAAGGUAGGAAGAAAAUAAAAGCUAAAUUCACACAAUC
Long non-coding RNA from Pseudoliparis swirei, 3531 nucleotides. RefSeq lists it as uncharacterized. The record is from RefSeq and is a predicted model, not a curated record. NCBI's taxonomy places the organism in Eukaryota, Metazoa, Chordata, Actinopteri, Perciformes, Liparidae. The transcript is spliced from 2 exons.